Molecule: ribosomal RNA, 253 nt
Filed under: uncultured bacterium
Lineage: Bacteria
Description: partial 16S ribosomal RNA
Rfam family: Bacterial small subunit ribosomal RNA
Source: RNAcentral
UACGAAGGGGGCUAGCGUUGUUCGGAAUUACUGGGCGUAAAGCGCGUGUAGGCGGGUCCUUAAGUCAGGGGUGAAAUGCCAAGGCUCAACCUUGGAACUGCCUUUGAUACUGGGGAUCUUGAGUCCGGGAGAGGUGAGUGGAACUGCGAGCGUAGAGGUGAAAUUCGUAGAUAUUCGCAAGAACACCAGUGGCGAAGGCGGCUCACUGGCCCGGUACUGACGCUGAGGUGCGAAAGCGUGGGGAGCAAACAGG